GUCAUAAACAGGGAAAUAAACGUGUAUUAAGCAGCGAUUAUUGGGCUUAUAUUAAUUGGGGGACUUAUAUUCGGGGGGCUUAUAUUCGGGUGGGCUUAUAUUCGGCGGGGGGCGCUUAUAUUUGGAAUGAUCGGAGCGUUAGUACAUGUGGUGGGUUUAUACACGGGAGGCUUAUAUUCGGGGAGGCUUAUAGUCGGAGGUUUACGGUA
Paramuricea clavata is the source of this 209-nucleotide non-coding RNA. NCBI's taxonomy places the organism in Eukaryota, Metazoa, Cnidaria, Anthozoa, Malacalcyonacea, Plexauridae. The record is from the annotation of a GenBank genome assembly.